This 520-nucleotide ribosomal RNA is filed under the name uncultured Entrophospora. RNAcentral's name for it is "SSU rRNA". It matches the Rfam family "Eukaryotic small subunit ribosomal RNA", at positions 569 to 1083 of the family's 1831-position model. The record is from RNAcentral. Lineage: Eukaryota; Fungi; Glomeromycota; Glomeromycetes; Entrophosporales; Entrophosporaceae.
AGCAGCCGCGGUAAUUCCAGCUCCAAUAGCGUAUAUUAAAGUUGUUGCAGUUAAAAGCUCGUAGUUGAAUUUCGGGAUUGACACAUCGGUCGUGCCUUAAGGGGUAUGAACUGGUGUAGUCAAUUUCUCACCUUCUGGAGAACCACGAUGCCCUUAAUUGGGUGUCGCGGGGAACCAGGACCUUUACUUUGAAAAAACUUAGAGUGUUUAAAGCAGGCAUUUUGCUUGAAUACAUUAGCAUGGAAUAAUAAAAUAGGACGGCAUGAUUCUAUUUUGUUGGUUUCUAGGAUCACCGUAAUGAUUAAUAGGGAUAGUUGGGGGGCAUUAGUAUUCAAUUGUCAGAGGUGAAAUUCUUGGAUUUAUUGAAGACUAACUACUGCGAAAGCAUUUGCCAAGGAUGUUUUCAUUAAUCAAGAACGAAAGUUAGGGGAUCGAAGACGAUCAGAUACCGUCGUAGUCUUACCAUAAACUAUGCCGACUAGGAAUCAGACGAUGUAAUUUUUUUCAAUGACUCGUUUGG